This 68-nucleotide transfer RNA is filed under the name human gut metagenome. It matches the Rfam family "tRNA". From Rfam's summary of the family: Transfer RNA (tRNA) molecules are approximately 80 nucleotides in length. Their secondary structure includes four short double-helical elements and three loops (D, anti-codon, and T loops). Further hydrogen bonds mediate the characteristic L-shaped molecular structure. tRNAs have two regions of fundamental functional importance: the anti-codon, which is responsible for specific mRNA codon recognition, and the 3' end, to which the tRNAs corresponding amino acid is attached (by aminoacyl-tRNA synthetases). tRNAs cope with the degeneracy of the genetic code in two manners: having more than one tRNA (with a specific anti-codon) for a particular amino acid; and 'wobble' base-pairing, i.e. permitting non-standard base-pairing at the 3rd anti-codon position. RNAcentral also lists the same sequence under 1 other name. The record is from RNAcentral.
UGAUAUAGCUCAGUCGGUAGAGCAAUUCACUCGUAAUGAAUAGGUCGCCAGUUCGAUUCUGGCUAUCA